Molecule: ribosomal RNA, 460 nt
Filed under: uncultured bacterium
Lineage: Bacteria
Description: partial 16S ribosomal RNA
Rfam family: Bacterial small subunit ribosomal RNA
Source: RNAcentral
CCUACGGGUGGCAGCAGUGAGGAAUAUUGGUCAAUGGACGAGAGUCUGAACCAGCCAAGUAGCGUGAAGGAUGACUGCCCUAUGGGUUGUAACCUUCUUUUAUAUGGGAAUAAAAUUUUCCACGUGGGGGAUUUUGUAUGUACUAUCUGAAUAAGGAUCGGCUAACUCCGUGCCAGCAGCCGCGGUAAUACGGAGGAUCCGAGCGUUAUCCGGAUUUAUUGGGUUUAAAGGGAGCGUAGGUGGAUUGUUAAGUCAGUUGUGAAAGUUUGCGGCUCAACCGUAAAAUUGCAGUUGAUACUGGCAGUCUUGAGUACAGUAGAGGUAGGCGGAAUUCGUGGUGUAGCGGUGAAAUGCUUAGAUAUCACGAAGAACUCCGAUUGCGAAGGCAGUUCACUGGACUGCAACUGACACUGAGGCUCGAAAGUGUGGGUAUCAAACAGGAUUAGAUACUCCUGUAGUC